Molecule: long non-coding RNA, 1718 nt
Organism: Tyto alba (common barn owl)
Lineage: Eukaryota; Metazoa; Chordata; Aves; Strigiformes; Tytonidae
Exons: 2
Source: RefSeq, a predicted model, not a curated record
ACGGGCCCGGAGGGGCACGGCGGUCGCGGCUCGGGUUGCUGCAAGGGGAGAGGGGGAAGCGCAGGACCAGCUCCCAAGCCAGGUUGGAUUUUGGGGGAGCACCCGGCUCCCGGAGAGAUCCUCCCAGCAGCCCUGCAGCGACACGCUCGGGUGGCAUUUCGAGCUCUGCUGCGUAACAUCGUGCGCUAAGCCCUGUAAAUAGAAGAUCUCUGAUGACAGAAAGCUUACCUAGUUCUAAAUACUUGGGCUCUGGACAACAGGGGCCCCCAGUGCUGAGCAGCCAGAAACCGCUACAGCUGAUCAAAUGCUCUAUAUUUAGAUGAUGACUAAACUGAAUCAUUAAGUGACUGGGACCCUAAAACCAUAUAAACACCUCUCAAAACUUCACCGUUGCUUGUAAAGGAAAGGAACGGGGCAGGAAAUGUAACAAACCUUAACAUCAGUAAGUUUAAGGUUAAGACACUGAAAAUACACUAAUUCUGGAAUGUAGUUUAUUGCUAGUGAGGACAGUUCAAAGCCAACUUCACAUGAAUAACUAACUGCCUUCAGGUUCAGUGUAAGUCACAAGCUUUCAAACCGCUUGGAUGCUUUCAGCAGCUCUGUAGUUACUCGGUCUUAGGAAGUUCAAAGUUAUGUAAGACACAACUGGUUGCGGAAAGAUUAGUUCAAUGGACAAAAUAAAAGUGCUUAAACAACUUCUCCUGGGAAAUCUUACUGACAGAGGGACUUCCGAGUUACAAACAUGAAAAAGACCUGCUCAAGGAGAAGCACCUGCUUUUAUUUAUGAGUUCGUUUGAGAAGUUGUUGUUGCCUUUUAUAUUCAUUUGCACUAGCCCCACACAGGCAUAUCUGGGCAAAGGGUAUGUGAGCGCAUAUGCAAUACUUCUGUUCAGAAGAGUCAUGUUUACAAAUCUUCAGUGAAAACCCCACAACAACAUUAUUAAGGAAAAGUCGGUAUUUGGAAGGUGAAUCACUAGAAACCAAAAGCUGAAAAUAGCUUUCAGAAUCUUUGCUCAAACGUUUUGUCAUUUUACACAACAUUUCCAUUGACCUCUACAGCAGGUGAAAUGCUGCAGUUUGACUUCAGUAUGUUGACCUUUCUCAGAGAGCUUGGCAAAAGCCCAAGAACAGUUCUACUGGUUCAGCAGAAGUUCAGAGAAGUGAGCAUCCUGUUUGUGAUGACGGCCAUCAGGGGAUGCAUACCUAGGAAAAAGUUAUAAAAGCAUAGCAAGAUGCUAAUAUUUCCCUGGAACAUUCUUUUACUCUGAUUCGCAAUCUUGGGGAUAUCCCGAGAAAGAAUCUUUUUCCUAAGUUGCAAGUUGCUUUUUCAACAGCGAUGAACUUCAACAUCCACAAAGAUCAUGCAGCAAGGAGUUCCACCACUUAUUUAAGCUUGUGUAAGGGAAGGCACAGCCCUCUCAACAUUCAUGUGUUUCAUUUAGUAUAAGAGAUGGUGAAAAAUUAUUCCAUACUCAGCACAAUUGCUGCUUAUCAUUUUAUCAAAAUACUUUAGCCACCUGAGCAAACUGUCUUUUCCAAAACGAAGAUUCCUGCUCCAGUGCAUUGUUCUUCACAUGAGAGCACUUUUGUACCUUUUAUCUUUGUUGUUCUCCCUAUCCUUUUCCAAUUUUAUAAUCUUCUCUGUUUUGUAGUGCUGAAGCAGGGACAGGCUGCAAUAGGGGGAACAAAACUGUUCAAUAAAAUAGCAUUUGAUAUUA